This 2022-nucleotide long non-coding RNA is filed under the name Salmo salar (Atlantic salmon). RNAcentral describes it as "lncRNA (ENSSSAG00000106025.1)". Lineage: Eukaryota; Metazoa; Chordata; Actinopteri; Salmoniformes; Salmonidae. The record is from RNAcentral.
CACAGCUCUGACUCAUACAGGAUUCAGGAGGGUGGAAACAAUCUCUAACCCACACACUCUCUUACCAUUGUGGCGAUCCUGUGGAUGAGAGAGGAUAAACACAGUAGAAAUACAGUACUUUCACUUGGAGCUGAGGACCUAAGCCCUAGGAUCAUGCCUCUGGACGACCUGGCGUGAUGACUCCUGGCUGUCCCCAGUCCACCUGGUUGUGCUGCUGCUCCAGUUUCAACUGUUCUCCCUGCGGCUAGGGAACCCUGACCUGUUCACCAGACGUUCUACCCUGUCCUGUACCUGCUGUUUUCGACUCUCUCUCUCUCUACUGCACCUGCUGUCUCAACCUCUGAAUGUUCAGCUAUGAAAAGCCAACUGACAUUUACUCCUGAGGUACUGACCUGUUGCACCCUCUACAACCACUCUGAGUAUUAUUUGACCCUGCUGGUCAUCUAUGAACGUUUGAACAUCUUGAAGAACAAUCUGGCUUUAAAUAGCCAUGUACUUUUAUAAUCCCCACCUGGCACAGCCAGAAGAGGACUGGCCUCCCCUCACAGCCUGGUUCCUCUCUAGGUUUCGUCCUAGGAUCCUGCCUUUCUAGGGAGUUUUUCCUAGCCACUGUGCUUCUACAUCUGCAUUUCUUGCUGUUUGGGGUUUUAGACUGGGUUUCUGUCACAUUCUGACAUCUGCUGAUGUAAAAAGGGCUUUAUAAAUACAUUUGAUUGACUGAUUGACUGCAGAGAAUAUGAGGGUCUUUGAGAAAAACAACUUGAAUUAUAUCAUACCAGUAUACAUUAACUUACACACUCAUGCUGACAAAAAGCUGCAAACACAUACACCACUCUGUCUAUGCAAAUGUGCACAAUGCCACAAGGAGCUCUCUACCACUCCCAAGAUUUCCUCAGAUAUCUUCAAAGCAUUUCAGAACUCCUGCAAAGCCUUGGUUUAUUUAGAGGCAUCGGAUCAACAGUGUGGCACCGGGGGAGCCUGAGCUGUCUCAUCCGUUUGUCACCAGGAGUUGUGUUCUUAUUUUCCACUUCCACAUAUCCAAGUCUAUUCCUCCCUUCCUCCACCUACCUUUCUCCCCUACCCCCUACCCCCUACCUCCUCACAGCGGAAGUUCGUCAAAUAACCGAGCAACACUUCAAAAACAGGAGCUGGGGUGUUGUCCUCUAAAAAUCUCAGCAGGGUCUGUCCGUCUCAGCGAGGAAAAGGGGGAGAGGUGAGACAAGAGAGAAAAGAGAAGAGAGCAUAGAGGAGAGAGGGGACAGAGAGGGGAGAGAGAAGAGAGAGGAGAGGGGAAGGAGAGGGGAGAGAUCAGAGAGGAGAUGAAGAGGAGAGAGGGGAGAGAUUAGAGAGGAGAUGAAGCAGGGAGAAAGAAGAGAGGGGAUGGAGAGGGGAGGGGAGGGGAAGGAGAGGGGAGAGAGGGAGAGAGGGAGAGAGAGAAAGAAAGAGAGAGGGAGGAGGGAGAGUGAGAGAGGGAGGAGAGAGAGAGAGAGGGGAGAGGGGAGGGAGAGGGGAGAGAUAAGAGAGGGGAGAGGGGAGGGAGAAGAGAGGGGAGGGAGAACAGAGGGAAGAGGGGAGGAAUGAUUGGAGAGGAACACAAUGCCCAAGAGAAAGCCAAAGAAAAAAGGUCUCUCAAAGAGUUGGAAACUUUUUCAUCCAAAAAAGAACCCUUUCUGGUUAGUGUAUUUAUGACACUGCAGCAUUUAGAGAGAAGGGUUUAGUCUCACUCUUCUCCUCUUGGCAGCUCCCCACCGGGCACAAACUGGUUAAAUCAGCGUCAUUUAAAUGUAAUUUGUCACUGCAUUGUGAUGUGGAAUCUAUGUGAAAAAUACAUAGGAUUUGUUUUUGCAAUUAUUAACGUAAACUGUUGUUUUUAGGGUAUACAUUUUACCACUUGAUUAUGUCAUCAUGGUAACAUAUUUUCAACAUAGACAAACCUUGUGUAAAAUACGUGGAAUUUGUACCUUUGUAACAAUGUCAGAUUUUCAACGUUAUGUCCACUUACAAAAUAAAACUAUAGGCCUG